RNAcentral lists this ribosomal RNA (468 nucleotides) under uncultured bacterium. RNAcentral's name for it is "partial 16S ribosomal RNA". It matches the Rfam family "Bacterial small subunit ribosomal RNA", at positions 28 to 507 of the family's 1533-position model. The record is from RNAcentral.
GACGAACGCUGGCGGCGUGCUUAACACAUGCAAGUCGAACGGAAAGGCCCUGCUUUUGUGGGGUGCUCGAGUGGCGAACGGGUGAGUAACACGUGAGUAACCUGCCCUUGACUUUGGGAUAACUUCAGGAAACUGGGGCUAAUACCGGAUAGGAGCUCCUGCUGCAUGGUGGGGGUUGGAAAGUUUCGGCGGUUGGGGAUGGACUCGCGGCUUAUCAGCUUGUUGUUGGGGUAGUGGCUUACCAAGGCUUUGGCGGGUAGCCGGCCUGGGAGGGUGACAGGCCGCGUUGGGACAAAUUGAUGGCAAUAACACCUAAGGGCGGCGGCAGGGAGGAAUAUAACACUAGGGGCGAGAGCCUGAGGAGGCAACGACGCGGGCGGGAUGAAGGCCUGCGGGUGAUAGCCCGCUUUCGCAUGUUAGGAAUGGGGAGUGACGGUAAUGAAUAAAAAGUCUCAGGCUUACUAGGUG